Erinaceus europaeus (western European hedgehog) is the source of this 582-nucleotide long non-coding RNA. RefSeq lists it as uncharacterized. The transcript has 3 exons. Lineage: Eukaryota; Metazoa; Chordata; Mammalia; Eulipotyphla; Erinaceidae. The record is from RefSeq and is a predicted model, not a curated record.
GGCUGGCCCCAUGCAGUGGGGAGAGAUGAUCCCAGCCCUCUUCCCUCCAGAUCUUCUACUCAUGUGUUAUGAUAAUUUAUGAAGCAGGGCUGGCUGGCACCAUUCAUAAAGAAACUGAGUCACGCAGAAGACUCAGGAGCUCCUGGUUUUCAAGCCUUUUCAUCUUGGACAGUGAGUUUUCAAGCCUUCAGACUCAGACUGAAUCAUCACAUCAACUUUCCUGCUUCUUCAGAUGGCCCAUUGUGGGACUUCUUGGCCUUCAUAACCACACAAGCUAAUUCUUAUAAUAAAUCUCCUCUAACAUACAUAUCCAUAAAUCCUAUUGGCUAUGCCUCUCUGGAGAGCCCUGACCAAUAAAGAUGGUGUCAUGCUCAUCAAUCACUUUUAAUAUCCUUUGAUCAUGUCAUUCCACUCAGAGACCAGUGCAUUGGUUACAUCAAAGGCUUUAUUAACUCAUAGAUCUGAGUUUGAAUCCCAACUCGUCUUGACUUGUCUCAGUUACAGCUGUGUUCUUACAUCUAUUUCUCAGUGCUGUUGUGAGGAUUAAGUAACAUGUUUAUGUAAAGUGCUGGACAAAUUGCU